Molecule: small RNA, 608 nt
Filed under: Pan troglodytes (chimpanzee)
Lineage: Eukaryota; Metazoa; Chordata; Mammalia; Primates; Hominidae
Description: retained intron
Source: RNAcentral
GCUUCUAUAGGAGAGCUUUAGAAUGAAGUCAUUUAGAGGAGCAGGCGAAUCCUAAUCGCAUCUCUCUCUUUAGCUGGACUGAACCCAAACAUGAAUGUCAACAGCAUGGACAUGACCGGUGGCUUGUCGGUGAAGGACCCAUCCCAGUCCCAGUCACGCCUCCCCCAGUGGACGCACCCCAACUCCAUGGAUAACUUGCCCAGUGCCGCUUCCCCCCUGGAGCAGAACCCUAGCAAGCAUGGUGCUAUCCCUGGAGGUCUAAGCAUUGGGCCUCCAGGUAAGUCCUCCAUUGAUGACUCCUAUGGCCGGUACGAUUUAAUCCAGAACAGUGAGUCACCAGCCAGUCCUCCCGUAGCUGUUCCCCAUAGCUGGUCACGUGCCAAAUCUGACAGUGAUAAAAUCUCAAAUGGCUCUAGCAUCAACUGGCCCCCAGGUAAGACCAUGCAACACUUCUGUGCAACAGCAGCAGGUCAGAAUGUGCUCCAAGCCCGCAGAGAGUGAUUAGGCUGAGAGGACCCAGAAUCUGAGCUGAGGAUCUGGAAGCGUUAAGCCCAGAGCUUUGGCAUUUUCCUUGGAAAUCCAUUUGUCAGAUCAAUUUUGGGUAUGGU